UCCUGUCACUAGAAAUAUUUUUACUUUUCUAGCUGCACCACUACUUUCUCUUUAUUUAAAAAGAAAGAAGUUUAACUCCCUUUUGGAAACUAUGCCCCAUUGUAGUAGAUAUGUGGAUUUUGUUGCUCUUGCAAGGUUAUCAAACUGUUCUUGUGUUUGUUGAAUGUUGUUCUAAGCUUUACUUAGGAAAACACAAAGGUUGGUGUUUAUUGCCCCAAACUGUGUGCUUGUUAAUGCUUGUUGGCUUUUCUGUGAUGCUUAGGUUAAACUCUCUUGUGCCUUUUAAAAUAAAUUAUUUUAUCGUAAAUGUAAGCAUCCUGACUGCAUGUGGCUUAUGAUGAAGGGAAUACCUCCUGUGUAGGGUCCUUCUAUUUUUAAAGAUUCCUGUAGUUCCUAGUGAGUUUGAAUCCCUCUUCCUUGCACCAUGCACAGUUACUCUGCAUUUCCAGUCCUCUGUUUGUAGUAAGAGCAUAACCCCCCUGCCCCAAACAAAACCAACUGACUAACCAACCAACCUGUCAGGGAGGCCUUAGCCAAAGUAAGAAAUUGACUAAGGUCUUGCUGACAGGUUUUUGUGUUUGUUUUAACAGACUAAGCUCUCUUUCCAGAAGCUCUCCUUUUUUUCCUAGCAUUUCCAAAGAGUCUGCUCAAACUCCUCCUCAGUAUCUAUUUUCUGCUGACGAGUCAUAAUCUUAGGUUGUCAUAUUGCUGAUAAUCACAUUGCAUUUCACUACAGCCUACCUUGUGAUAGCCCUUAUGAUAGCAUCCCUGCCCUCAGGUGGUAUCCUCAGUGACAAAGCCUUUGCUUCCUGAGGAGGAUCUGCUGCAGAAUCAUUCCCUGUCAUUAGACUUGCACUUUCUUUCCACAUAACUUUCUUCCUUUUUCACAGGACAGGUGUUACCAGCUUAAGCUGCUGUCAUCAAAGGGGUCGUUGAACAGUCUGCUGGAGUUCCUUGGCCUCAAGGUCCAGACUUUUUCAUGAGGAUGCUGCGCUGCCUGUGUCCUGUGCUCCUGGGGCUGCUAGUUCAGCAGCUGUUGGUGCAAUGGAUUUGGAAUCCAUUUGAUUGAUGUGAUGUGAUGUGAUGUGAUGGAGUUGGCAACAGCCGGAAGAGCCAAGAAUGCUCUGUGAGGCACUGUGUAAACUCCACACUUCUAGAUUCUUGUUUUAAGGAGUACUAGCCAAGCUGCUUCCAGUAUCUGGGAAAGGGACAAAGCAACACUAAAUAACUUCACUGCGUGUUAAAGUCUGGGAUGACCAUCUAUCUCCAGUGAGGCUAGCUAAAAGAAGUCCAGCGGAAGAAACUUGGAUCAGAAAGGCUGU
This is a long non-coding RNA of Athene cunicularia (burrowing owl), 1322 nucleotides long. RefSeq lists it as uncharacterized. The transcript has 3 exons. The record is from RefSeq and is a predicted model, not a curated record. NCBI's taxonomy places the organism in Eukaryota, Metazoa, Chordata, Aves, Strigiformes, Strigidae.